This 364-nucleotide long non-coding RNA is filed under the name Capsicum annuum. RNAcentral's name for it is "long non-coding RNA (CANN_LNC003446)". Lineage: Eukaryota; Viridiplantae; Streptophyta; Magnoliopsida; Solanales; Solanaceae. The record is from RNAcentral.
CGGGACAUGGAGCAGUUACAGCUCACUGAGGGCAUGAUCCUAGAUAGGAAGUUAUGGAGGUCGCGUAUUAGGAUAGAAGGCUAGUAUCAGUUUGGGUCAGUAGGGUAGGGCGUAGCUUGGUGGGUGUAUUAUUCUUGGUAUGCUACCUUGUUGCUGCGAUGGUGUACUAUUCUUUGGUUGCUAUUCCUUGUGGGUGGUGUAUUUAUGUCUUGUCAUCUUGUUAGGUGCUUUUUUGCGGAUUUGAUUAAUAUUCUUUGUCUUGAGCCGGGGGUCUAUCGGAAACAGCCUUGCUACUUCUCCGGAGGUAGUGGUAUGGACUGCGUACAUCUUACCCUCCCCAGACCCCACUACGUGGGAAUACAUU